GACACACGCAGGUGACCUCAGCACUCGGGAGGGCGAAGCAGGAGGAUCAUGAAGUUCGAGCCCUGCCUGGACAACUAAACCGCUUGGGUUCCCGCAGAAAAUAAGAAACGGCCACUCCACGGCGACUGGGUGAUGGAUGGAUUCCCCUGCUGAGAUUUCCAGGUGGCCCAGUUAAUGAAGACAUGGAAGGGGAGGAGAUUGAGAAAGACCAAGAAGAGGAAAGACAGAGUCAUCCGUAGCCCCGAUCGAUCAGGAGACACGGAAUGCCUAAGAGUUCCUGUCUUAGAACUCAAAGCCCUGAACGGUGGUGACUGUUCCUCCGGAACAAUUGGGCCAGUUGAUGGAGCUCUGAGAUCCAGAGAGGAAAUGCAUUGGAGUUGCCAGUUUUCGGGGAGAGGAAGCCGCCUGUGUUGUAGGACUAUAAGAAAAACAACUAUUUCCAAGAGUGGUUUCCUCCAUCCCUUUUAGAGAGCCUCGCCGCCCAGUGACUGGUUAUGGAAGUAGCUCUGGAAACAGGCACUUGUCGGGCUGAUAAUGACACACGAAGCCAGGCAGCAGGCCGUGUCACGGAUUUUUACCGCUGGCAGAUGUAAAACAGAAGCCUGAUGCAUCUUGUAUAUUUAAUUCUCAAAAUAGCCGAAACUUGGAAGCAACCAAAGACAAUCAAUUAAGAAAAUCACUGUCUAGUUGUAACAGUGGAAAGACGCUCACGGUUAAGGGAAUUCCAGAGGAUAGCCAGCUCUGGGCCAUGUGAUGUUUGAACUUUUGACCAGGCCUGUGAUCAGGUAGGUGUACGUUUUCUGUGACACUAGCUGUACACUGGGGAUCAGUGCAUGUCUGCCUACAUCCUGGGGAUUGAAUCCAGGGCCUUGUGUGAAUUAAAUACAUGUUCUACCUCUGAGCGACACCCC
Molecule: long non-coding RNA, 911 nt
Organism: Fukomys damarensis (Damara mole-rat)
Lineage: Eukaryota; Metazoa; Chordata; Mammalia; Rodentia; Bathyergidae
Exons: 4
Source: RefSeq, a predicted model, not a curated record